CGCCACUGUUACUAGUUCCAAACCAAAGAGAACAAAGACAAUGGCGGCGAUUUCUUGUCACUCUAUGCUUCCAUAAAACAAAGUCUCUUUCUCCUCGUCUUCCUAUUCUUUCUCCAGUAAUGUUGUCUCCCAGUCUGCUCGAUUCUCCGGUGUAUCGGUUUCUUCUCGGGUGAUUCGUGGGAGAAUCUCGUUCCAGACCUCCUCUGCUACCUCUUCGUCUUCCUCUUCCGCCAAUGGCAAAGGAAUCCACAGACAAAUGACAUUUAUGAAUAUAAAACUCCAUCUCCUGUAGACUUUUCUUCUCCAGAACUGCAUCUGUUGGAGAAAUUUCAGUUUUGAUUAAUACCAAGAAAAUAUGGAAGGCGAGAUCGUUUGCGUGACUGGUGCGUCAGGAUUCAUUGGGUCUUGGCUUGUCAUGAGGCUUCUUCAACAAGG
RNAcentral lists this unclassified non-coding RNA (435 nucleotides) under Hevea brasiliensis (rubber tree). Lineage: Eukaryota; Viridiplantae; Streptophyta; Magnoliopsida; Malpighiales; Euphorbiaceae. The record is from RNAcentral.